AGCCGCGGUAAUACGUAGGGGGCGAGCGUUGCUCGGAAUCACUGGGCGUAAAGCGCACGUAGGCGGGUCGUCAAGUCGGGGGUGAAAGCCCGGAGCUCAACUCCGGAACAGCCUUCGAUACUGACGAUCUUGAGUUCGGGAGAGGUGAGUGGAACUGCGAGUGUAGAGGUGAAAUUCGUAGAUAUUCGCAAGAACACCAGUGGCGAAGGCGGCUCACUGGCCCGAUACUGACGCUGAGGUGCGAAAGCGUGGGGAGCAAACA
Molecule: ribosomal RNA, 262 nt
Filed under: uncultured bacterium
Lineage: Bacteria
Description: partial 16S ribosomal RNA
Rfam family: Bacterial small subunit ribosomal RNA
Source: RNAcentral